RNAcentral lists this ribosomal RNA (886 nucleotides) under Salmonella enterica. Its description in RNAcentral is "bacterial SSU rRNA". It matches the Rfam family "Bacterial small subunit ribosomal RNA", at positions 226 to 1104 of the family's 1533-position model. Lineage: Bacteria; Pseudomonadati; Pseudomonadota; Gammaproteobacteria; Enterobacterales; Enterobacteriaceae. The record is from RNAcentral.
UGUGCCCAGAUGGGAUUAGCUGGUUGGUGAGGUAACGGCUCACCAAGGCGACGAUCCCUAGCUGGUCUGAGAGGAUGACCAGCCACACUGGAACUGAGACACGGUCCAGACUCCUACGGGAGGCAGCAGUGGGGAAUAUUGCACAAUGGGCGCAAGCCUGAUGCAGCCAUGCCGCGUGUAUGAAGAAGGCCUUCGGGUUGUAAAGUACUUUCAGCGGGGAGGAAGGUGUUGUGGUUAAUAACCGCAGCAAUUGACGUUACCCGCAGAAGAAGCACCGGCUAACUCCGUGCCAGCAGCCGCGGUAAUACGGAGGGUGCAAGCGUUAAUCGGAAUUACUGGGCGUAAAGCGCACGCAGGCGGUCUGUCAAGUCGGAUGUGAAAUCCCCGGGCUCAACCUGGGAACUGCAUUCGAAACUGGCAGGCUUGAGUCUUGUAGAGGGGGGUAGAAUUCCAGGUGUAGCGGUGAAAUGCGUAGAGAUCUGGAGGAAUACCGGUGGCGAAGGCGGCCCCCUGGACAAAGACUGACGCUCAGGUGCGAAAGCGUGGGGAGCAAACAGGAUUAGAUACCCUGGUAGUCCACGCCGUAAACGAUGUCUACUUGGAGGUUGUGCCCUUGAGGCGUGGCUUCCGGAGCUAACGCGUUAAGUAGACCGCCUGGGGAGUACGGCCGCAAGGUUAAAACUCAAAUGAAUUGACGGGGGCCCGCACAAGCGGUGGAGCAUGUGGUUUAAUUCGAUGCAACGCGAAGAACCUUACCUGGUCUUGACAUCCACGGAAGUUUUCAGAGAUGAGAAUGUGCCUUCGGGAACCGUGAGACAGGUGCUGCAUGGCUGUCGUCAGCUCGUGUUGUGAAAUGUUGGGUUAAGUCCCGCAACGAGCGCAACCC